GGGCCGUUAGCUCAACUGGCAGAGCAACUGACUCUUAAUCAGUAGGUUCGGGGUUCGAUUCCCUGACGGCUCACCA
This 76-nucleotide transfer RNA is filed under the name bacterium. RNAcentral's name for it is "tRNA-Lys". It matches the Rfam family "tRNA". From Rfam's summary of the family: Transfer RNA (tRNA) molecules are approximately 80 nucleotides in length. Their secondary structure includes four short double-helical elements and three loops (D, anti-codon, and T loops). Further hydrogen bonds mediate the characteristic L-shaped molecular structure. tRNAs have two regions of fundamental functional importance: the anti-codon, which is responsible for specific mRNA codon recognition, and the 3' end, to which the tRNAs corresponding amino acid is attached (by aminoacyl-tRNA synthetases). tRNAs cope with the degeneracy of the genetic code in two manners: having more than one tRNA (with a specific anti-codon) for a particular amino acid; and 'wobble' base-pairing, i.e. permitting non-standard base-pairing at the 3rd anti-codon position. RNAcentral also lists the same sequence under 6 other names. The record is from RNAcentral.